AUUGAACGCUGGCGGCAGGCCUAACACAUGCAAGUCGAGCGGAUGAAGUGAGCUUGCUCCUGGAUUCAGCGGCGGACGGGUGAGUAAUGCCUAUGAAUCUGCCUGGUGGUGGGGGAUAACGUCCGGAAACGGGCGCUAAUACCGCAUACGUCCUGAGGGAGAAAGUGGGUGAUCUUCGGACCUCACGCUAUCAGAUGAGCCUAGGUCGGAUUAGCUAGUUGGUGGGGUAAAGGCCUACCAAGGCGACGAUCCGUAACUGGUCUGAGAGGAUGAUCAGUCACACUGGAACUGAGACACGGUCCAGACUCCUACGGGAGGCAGCAGUGGGGAAUAUUGGACAAUGGGCGAAAGCCUGAUCCAGCCAUGCCGCGUGUGUGAAGAAGGUCUUCGGAUUGUAAAGCACUUUAAGUUGGGAGGAAGGGCAGUAAGUUAAUACCUUGCUGUUUUGACGUUACCAACAGAAUAAGCACCGGCUAACUUCGUG
RNAcentral lists this ribosomal RNA (484 nucleotides) under uncultured bacterium. RNAcentral's name for it is "partial 16S ribosomal RNA". It matches the Rfam family "Bacterial small subunit ribosomal RNA", at positions 30 to 507 of the family's 1533-position model. The record is from RNAcentral.